This 484-nucleotide unclassified non-coding RNA is filed under the name Hevea brasiliensis (rubber tree). The record is from RNAcentral. Lineage: Eukaryota; Viridiplantae; Streptophyta; Magnoliopsida; Malpighiales; Euphorbiaceae.
GAUGUUGACUAAAAAAUAAAAAAUUGAUAUUAUUCUAAUAAUUUUAGAACUUACUGUAGAUAUUACGAUUUCUCGUCAUGAUACCAAUCGCAUGGCCAAACAGGACCUAAAAAAUAUUUAAACCAUUUAAGAUUGUGUAAAUAUACCUAAAUUGACCAACUGACUAAAUCACAAAUUAAAGCAACAAAAAUCCUGAGCCACCAUGGAAAACAAACCAAGGCACCUCAACAAAAGCAAAUGAUAACAGACUCAAAAUCAUGCUCGCCACCGCCUAUCAAGUACCCAGUUCUGAGAAUGGAUACUUGAGAUACAAGUCAGAGAACUACAACCUAAUACACAACUCAAAGACCAAACUAAAGCAGAAUUAAAUAAAACAGAGUCUAGAUAGCACACUCGAUGUAAAUAAAUAGCAUUCGAAACACCAGCAUCACACUGCACAGUUCACUUCCCCUUCUUCUGGGCAGCCUUGGUCACCUUGGCACCA